Molecule: long non-coding RNA, 494 nt
Filed under: Papio anubis (olive baboon)
Lineage: Eukaryota; Metazoa; Chordata; Mammalia; Primates; Cercopithecidae
Description: lncRNA (ENSPANG00000037127.1)
Source: RNAcentral
AUGCACACUCCAUGUGAUCAGAGCACACCCUCUUGGCAGCCUCAGGGCAGCCCAGUUGCUUCUACAAAACCAGUCAAAGUCCUGCGUCCAACAGCCUUGUUGGUCCAGCGGUACCUGCUUCCUGUUCCCAGAGAGAUUCACCCUUGGGCUUUCCUAUCAGUCUUCCCUAAAGUUGGCUGCUCCUGUGUCCUGUCACAUAAAACUGUGAACCGAGGUCUCCGACUUACGUCAUGUCAGUCACAGCAGGGUGAGGCUCCACAAGUAAUAAAUAACUUCCAGUCCCUCUCUUUUUGUGACAAGUCAUCAGGGUAUUGCUACAACGCAAGGCUGGAGAGACCGUGCUGUGGUAAAGGAGAGAAGAGAUCCCUAAUUAUUUUAUUGACAGCCUUGCUGUUAGAGGCUCUUUCCCAGAAGUUGGACGAAGAGACUCAAGCGUUGCUGUUUCUUCCCUUCCAAGUCAAGUGGUUACUCUGGUAAUGGAUUGCCUCUCGGAG